Molecule: RNA transcript, 2060 nt
Organism: Glycine soja
Lineage: Eukaryota; Viridiplantae; Streptophyta; Magnoliopsida; Fabales; Fabaceae
Gene name: glucan endo-1,3-beta-glucosidase 7-like
Exons: 5
Source: RefSeq, a predicted model, not a curated record
UUCAUUUCACACAAAACAAAACUGACAAAAGAAGUGCAGUUCCCAAAUGGCAAUAAUCUUUCUUUCAAGCUCCGCAAUUCUUCUUCCAAGUCUUGCUUUCUUUCUCACAUUAUUUAACCUUGCAAGUUCUGAAUCAUUCAUCGGCGUGAACUACGGACAAGUCGCUGACAACCUGCCGCCGCCGUCGGCGACGGCGAAGCUGCUCCAGUCGACGGCCAUCGGAAAGGUGCGUUUGUACGGAACCGACCCGGCGAUAAUAAAAGCUCUGGCGAACACGGGGAUCGGAAUCGUGAUCGGAGCGGCGAACGGGGACAUUCCGGGGCUAGCCUCGGACCCUAACUUCGCGAAAACGUGGGUGAACACCAACGUCGUACCGUACUACCCUGCCAGCAACAUCAUCCUCAUAACCGUCGGCAACGAAGUGAUAACCUCGAACGACCAAAACCUCGUGAACCAGAUGCUGCCGGCGAUCCAGAACGUGCAGGGCGCGCUCGACGCCGCCUCUCUCGGCGGCGGCAAGAUCAAGGUCUCCACCGUGCACGCCAUGUCGGUUCUCAGGGACUCUGAGCCACCCUCCGCCGGAAGGUUUCAUCCCGAAUACGACACCGUUUUGCAGGGGCUGUUGUCGUUUAACAAUGCCACGGGCUCGCCCUUUACCAUUAACCCUUACCCUUACUUUGCCUACAGAAGCGACCCUGGCAGAGCUGAUAACCUUGCUUUUUGCCUUUUCCAGCCUAACGCUGGCAGAGUUGACUCCAACACCAACCUCAAGUACAUGAACAUGUUUGAUGCUCAGGUGGACGCGGUUCGAUCUGCGUUGGAUGCUAUGGGGUUUAAGAAUGUUGAGAUUGUGGUUGCGGAGACAGGGUGGCCCUACAAAGGAGACAGCAAUGAGGCUGGUCCAAGUCUUGAGAAUGCUAAGGCUUAUAACGGCAAUCUGAUUGCCCACCUGCGAUCUAUGGUUGGAACCCCAUUGAUGCCAGGGAAAUCAGUGGACACAUACCUCUUUGCUUUGUACGAUGAGGACUUGAAGCCUGGACCUGCUUCUGAGAGAGCCUUUGGACUCUACAACCCUGAUCAAUCCAUGAUCUAUGAUGCUGGCCUCUCCAAACAGCAAGAAACUAGUAGCCCCGUGCCGACGGUUGCCCCGACUCCGGAUGUGUCAAAAUCUCCAGUGAUUCCAGCGCCAACAGACCCGGGUCAACAAACACAAAAAUCUCCAGUGAUUCCAGCGCCAAUAGGCCCGGGUCCAACACCAAAUAAAGCAGAACUCUUAAUUGGACAUGAAGCCACCAUUUUGAAGUCUUUAAUAAUGUUCACAGUUCUCAUCUUAAUGUUGUAACACCAAAUAAAGCAGAACUCUUAAUUGGACAUGAAGCCACCAUUUUGCAGUCUUUAAUAAUGUUCACAGUUCUCAUCUUAAUGUUGUUCUAGCUAGUAGUGGUAUUUAAUAUAAUAUGUUUCUUAAUUUCAUUGAAGACUACUCCGGAUGUGUCAAAAUCUCCCUCUACUCCAAAGCCAACAGUUUCAAGUCCAACCAAAACAAAUAAUAGUGCAACAUGGUGUGUGCCAAAAGGAGGAGUGGCAGAUGCACAGUUACAAGCAAAUUUGGAUUAUGCUUGUGGGCAAGGGAUUGAUUGUACCGCAAUUCAACAAGGAGGGGCUUGUUUUGAACCUAACACUUUGGUAAACCAUGCUGCAUAUGCCAUGAAUCUAUUGUAUCAAACAGCUGGACGGAAUCCAUUGACUUGUGAUUUCUCGCAAACAGCCAUGUUGUCAACGAAUAAUCCAAGUUACAAGAGUUGUCUUUAUGCUGGAGGAAAUGCCUAACCCAGAAAACAAGUAGAUAAAGGAGGGCACUUUUUGUUGUUUUAAUUAUUCUCUCUUAAUUGCUAAGAAAUGUUCUGGUUCUUGGAGUGUUCAUGUAUGGAGGAGGAUCUUCUUCCUCUAUUUGUAGUCUCACCUUUUUUAGUCUUUAUCAGAAGCAAAUUGAUGCUUUGUUUAUGUGUGAUCUGUGAAGCGUGGUUUAGGUAUGUGUGUUGUUCAAUCAUCGUUUGAAA